This 1343-nucleotide ribosomal RNA is filed under the name uncultured bacterium. RNAcentral describes it as "16S ribosomal RNA". It matches the Rfam family "Bacterial small subunit ribosomal RNA", at positions 28 to 1378 of the family's 1533-position model. The record is from RNAcentral.
GACGAACGCUGGCGGCGUGCUUAACACAUGCAAGUCGAACGGAAAGGCCCUGCUUUUGUGGGGUGCUCGAGUGGCGAACGGGUGAGUAACACGUGAGUAACCUGCCCUUGACUUUGGGAUAACUUCAGGAAACUGGGGCUAAUACCGGAUAGGAGCUCCUGCUGCAUGGUGGGGGUUGGAAAGUUUCGGCGGUUGGGGAUGGACUCGCGGCUUAUCAGCUUGUUGGUGGGGUAGUGGCUUACCAAGGCUUUGACGGGUAGCCGGCCUGAGAGGGUGACCGGCCACAUUGGGACUGAGAUACGGCCCAGACUCCUACGGGAGGCAGCAGUGGGGAAUAUUGCACAAUGGGCGGAAGCCUGAUGCAGCAACGCCGCGUGCGGGAUGACGGCCUUCGGGUUGUAAACCGCUUUCGCCUGUGACGAAGCGUGAGUGACGGUAAUGGGUAAAGAAGCACCGGCUAACUACGUGCCAGCAGCCGCGGUGAUACGUAGGGUGCGAGCGUUGUCCGGAUUUAUUGGGCGUAAAGGGCUCGUAGGUGGUUGAUCGCGUCGGAAGUGUAAUUUUGGGGCUUAACCCUGAGCGUGCUUUCGAUACGGGUUGACUUGAGGAAGGUAGGGGAGAAUGGAAUUCCUGGUGGAGCGGUGGAAUGCGCAGAUAUCAGGAGGAACACCAGUGGCGAAGGCGGUUCUCUGGGCCUUUCCUGACGCUGAGGAGCGAAAGCGUGGGGAGCGAACAGGCUUAGAUACCCUGGUAGUCCACGCUGUAAACGGUGGGUACUAGGUGUGGGGUCCAUUCCACGGGUUCCGUGCCGUAGCUAACGCUUUAAGUACCCCGCCUGGGGAGUACGGCCGCAAGGCUAAAACUCAAAGGAAUUGACGGGGCCCCGCACAAGCGGCGGAGCAUGCGGAUUAAUUCGAUGCAACGCGUAGAACCUUACCUGGGUUUGACAUGGAUCGGGAGCGCUCAGAGAUGGGUGUGCCUCUUUUGGGGUCGGUUCACAGGUGGUGCAUGGCUGUCGUCAGCUCGUGUCGUGAGAUGUUGGGUUAAGUCCCGCAACGAGCGCAACCCUUGUUCACUGUUGCCAGCACGUUAUGGUGGGGACUCAGUGGAGACCGCCGGGGUCAACUCGGAGGAAGGUGGGGAUGACGUCAAGUCAUCAUGCCCCUUAUGUCCAGGGCUUCACGCAUGCUACAAUGGCUGGUACAGAGAGUGGCGAGCCUGUGAGGGUGAGCGAAUCUCGGAAAGCCGGUCUCAGUUCGGAUUGGGGUCUGCAACUCGACCUCAUGAAGUCGGAGUCGCUAGUAAUCGCAGAUCAGCAACGCUGCGGUGAAUACGUUCCCGGG